UGGCACAUCCAAAUGAAGGCCUGACCUAUGGGGAUAACCCUGAAUUCUUUAUGUCUCUGAUGAAAAGACCACUGAAACAAAUCCUCGAACCCAUUAAAAACACCAGGAAUUUUCCCACUGAGUCCAGGGAGGAAGCUAGAAUCAUUUGCAGAAAACUUCUAUUGAAAAUCGACACCAUCUAGAAAUGGGCCUCUUAGGAUUCAGCGAGAUGAGACUUCUUAAUUUGGUCAGUCACAACACUUGAAGAAAGUUGCAUGUUUGGACUGGGUGCAUCGAGGCAAUGCUGUGACUUCCAAGGAGAGUUCUGAGGCUCCAUGAAUCUC
Rattus rattus (black rat) is the source of this 323-nucleotide long non-coding RNA. RefSeq lists it as uncharacterized. NCBI's taxonomy places the organism in Eukaryota, Metazoa, Chordata, Mammalia, Rodentia, Muridae. The transcript is spliced from 4 exons. The record is from RefSeq and is a predicted model, not a curated record.